GGGGGUGAACUAGAAUCGACGAAUGACUAAAAGUUGUUCUUUCGUUCGGAAUUGCUCCACCGUAAAGGGCUAAUUUAUAAUUGCUAACGAAAGUUACGCACUUGCUGCUUAAUUAACUUGUUAAUUAAGUUACGGGGUUCGGGGCACCUGGCAACAGAACGCCCCUUC
This 168-nucleotide transfer-messenger RNA is filed under the name alpha proteobacterium HIMB5. RNAcentral's name for it is "transfer-messenger RNA alpha_prote_HIMB5". It matches the Rfam family "Alphaproteobacteria transfer-messenger RNA", at positions 148 to 355 of the family's 355-position model. Rfam says of the family: Bacterial tmRNA, also known as 10Sa RNA or SsrA, is named for its dual tRNA and mRNA-like properties. The record is from RNAcentral. Lineage: Bacteria; Pseudomonadati; Pseudomonadota; Alphaproteobacteria; Candidatus Pelagibacterales; Candidatus Pelagibacteraceae.